AAGUCCACACCAGACACACCCACUGGAGCCACUCCUAAAUUCCUGGCAUGCAUAUAUUCUAGCAUGCAAUCAGUUACCUUCCUGCUAUUGAGAAUAAAACACCAAAAGCUUACCGUGCAGAAACCCAAUACUUCAGGACCGUAACUACACCCUCGGGUGUUGCACAAGAUGUUCAGAACAGCACCUUCUUCUCAAGAUCUGUGAGCCAGAUGAAAUUAAAGAAGAAAU
Molecule: long non-coding RNA, 228 nt
Organism: Chinchilla lanigera (long-tailed chinchilla)
Lineage: Eukaryota; Metazoa; Chordata; Mammalia; Rodentia; Chinchillidae
Exons: 3
Source: RefSeq, a predicted model, not a curated record